RNAcentral lists this ribosomal RNA (497 nucleotides) under uncultured bacterium. RNAcentral describes it as "partial 16S ribosomal RNA". It matches the Rfam family "Bacterial small subunit ribosomal RNA", at positions 28 to 507 of the family's 1533-position model. The record is from RNAcentral.
GAUGAACGCUGGCGGCGUGCCUAAUACAUGCAAGUCGAGCGAACGGACGAGAAGCUUUCUUCUCUGAUGUUAGCGUCGUACGGGUGAGUAACACGUGGAUAACCUACCUAUAAGACUGGGAUAACUUCGGGAAACCGGAGCUAAUACCGGAUAAUAUUUUGCACCGCAUGGUUCAAACGUGAAAGACUGUCUUGCUGUCACUUAUAGAUGGAUCCGCGCUGCAUUAGCUAGUUGGUAAGGUAACGGCUUACCAAGGCAACGAUGCAUAGCCGACCUGAGAGGGUGAUCGGCCACACUGGAACUGAGACACGGUCCAGACUCCUACGGGAGGCAGCAGUAGGGAAUCUUCCGCAAAGGGCGAAAGCCUGACGGAGCAACGCCGCGUGAGUGAUGAAGGUCUUCGGAUCGUAAAACUCUGUUAUUAGGGAAGAACAUAUGUGUAAGUAACUGUGCACAUCUUGACGGUACCUAAUCAGAAAGCCACGGCUAACUACGUG